RNAcentral lists this ribosomal RNA (253 nucleotides) under uncultured bacterium. RNAcentral describes it as "partial 16S ribosomal RNA". It matches the Rfam family "Bacterial small subunit ribosomal RNA", at positions 524 to 776 of the family's 1533-position model. The record is from RNAcentral.
GACGAAGGGGGCUAGCGUUGUUCGGAAUUACUGGGCGUAAAGCGAGUGUAGGUGGUUGUCCAAGCUGGAUGUGAAAGCCUUGAGCUCAACUCAAGAAAUGCAUUCAGGACUGGAUGGCUAGAGGACCGGAGAGGAUAGUGGAAUUCCCAGUGUAGUGGUGAAAUACGUAGAGAUUGGGAAGAACACCAGUGGCGAAGGCGGCUAUCUGGACGGUUUCUGACACUAAGACUCGAAAGCGUGGGGAGCAAACAGG